UAGAAAGCCAGCAAAGUAGUCUGCUCUAGCAGAGAGCAGUACACUUUGUGGUGCUGUUCUGGGGAGCCUGGUUAUCUAGGUGGCUUUUUCUAUGUGCCUAGGUUUGUGUUCCCCUCAAUGGCUCAUAUCCCUAGAGAAAGUCUUAUGGAUCUGGUUGUCCUAUAAGUGGUCUGGAGUCUUGAAUGGAAUGCAGACCAAAGCCUGAGGAAGGAUAAACCUGUUUCACAAGUCUGUGACAUUUGUGCCUUUGGCAAAUUCUGCUUGUAUCUGAGGUCACCGCACCUAACAGUAACACUGGUGAGAUGCAAUUAGACCUCCACUUGGAAUCGUGCAAGUUCUCAUGGAACCUAUCCCAGGGCUGGACAGCUACAAGAGCUAUAGAAUUGAGCAAACAGGACCCCAAAUCCUCUGCAGAAACAGGAUCAGCAAGCGUCAGUUGGCUGAUUGGAGACACCUGGCCCCUGAGGCAAGCAGUCAAAGAAUACUUGACAUUCACAGAGUAUAUUGCCCGGGAGCUGAUUACAACAGCACACUGAGAAGGAAGAUGGCGUGUGAUAUAUUCAAAGUACAUGGUGGAGGUCAGUGACCUUAUUUUCAAUAUUGAUCAAUGCCUGUUACAAAGAGAAUGCCUGUAUAACAGAAAGAUUCCAAGCCCUAGUUAACUGUCCAGUUAUCUCAAGUCAAAUUAAAUAUAUGUGUCAAAUGUGGUAAUGAAAAUAAAAACAAUAAAGCAAAAACA
RNAcentral lists this long non-coding RNA (739 nucleotides) under Phascolarctos cinereus (koala). RNAcentral describes it as "lncRNA (ENSPCIG00000030741.1)". Lineage: Eukaryota; Metazoa; Chordata; Mammalia; Diprotodontia; Phascolarctidae. The record is from RNAcentral.